This is an RNA transcript of Malaya genurostris, 9813 nucleotides long. It is a transcript of the gene named spectrin beta chain, with no coding region annotated. NCBI's taxonomy places the organism in Eukaryota, Metazoa, Arthropoda, Insecta, Diptera, Culicidae. The record is from RefSeq and is a predicted model, not a curated record. The transcript is spliced from 13 exons.
UCGCCUGUGUUCUGUACGAAAGUGAGCGUAGUCGAGUAAAGAUGGUCGUUGUCGUCGCGCUGUGAAGAAAAAUUAGUGCCGUGUGAGAAAGAAAAAGUUAAACUAUCACCGGAAAAUCGAAGAUAAAGUGUAUUUCUUGGCCAAAUUUCCGGUGAAAUUUUUGAAGAAAACGUGCGAGUGUAGUUUGUGGUCGCAUAGACGAUCAAAAAGUACCAAUAAAUUGAAUAAAUCGAUCUAUUAGAAAGUUUCUUUUACAUCCCGCUAGGAGCUCGCUAGGACAGUAAGCUUCUAGCCAUGACGACUGACAUCUCGGUAGUGCGGUGGGAUCCCAGCCAGGGCCCCGGCCAGGAGUACAUCGACGAAUACGAAUACGACGGAGGCAACUCCAGUUCACGCCUUUUCGAACGGUCACGAAUUAAAGCAUUAGCGGAGGAACGUGAAAGCGUCCAGAAGAAGACAUUCACAAAAUGGGUCAACUCGCAUUUGGUGCGGGUCAACAGUCGAAUAGGUGACCUGUACGUGGACAUGCGGGAUGGUAAAAAUCUAAUCAAACUGUUGGAAGUAUUAUCUGGCGAACGCUUGCCUCGACCGACCAAGGGUAAAAUGCGUAUCCACUGUCUGGAGAAUGUAGACAAAGCAUUACAGUUCCUACGCGAUCAGCGAGUUCAUCUGGAGAACAUUGGUUCUCACGAUAUCGUUGACGGUAAUGCCAGUCUGAACCUCGGUCUUAUAUGGACCAUCAUUCUACGAUUCCAGAUCCAAGAUAUUACAAUUGAAGAAACGGACAACAAAGAAACAAAAUCUGCCAAGGAUGCUUUGCUGCUCUGGUGUCAGAUGAAGACGGCUGGAUAUCACAAUGUGAAUGUGCGAAAUUUCACCACUUCCUGGAGAGAUGGGCUUGCUUUCAAUGCCAUUAUUCAUAAACAUCGUCCGGAUCUCAUUCAGAUCGAGAAACUGACAAAGAAUAACCCGAUCCAAAACUUGAACAAUGCGUUCAACGUUGCGGAAGAGAAACUCGGUCUGACUAAGCUAUUAGACGCCGAAGAUGUGUUUGUCGAGCAUCCCGAUGAGAAAUCCAUCAUCACGUAUGUCGUUACGUACUAUCAUUACUUCAGUAAACUGAAGCAGGAAACCGUGCAAGGUAAACGUAUUGGUAAGGUGGUCGGAAUCGCUAUGGACAACGAUCGUAUGAUUAACGAGUAUGAAUCGCUGACAAGCGAACUGCUAAAGUGGAUCGAAGUGACAAUCGUUCAGCUUGGUGACCGACAGUUUGCCAACUCGUUGGUCGGAGUUCAGCAGCAGUUAGCACAAUUCUCCAAUUACCGUACGGUUGAAAAACCGCCGAAAUUCGUCGAGAAAGGUAAUCUGGAAGUGUUACUGUUCACACUGCAAUCGAAGAUGAGAGCGAACAAUCAAAAACCUUAUACCCCCAAGGAAGGAAAAAUGAUUUCCGAUAUCAACAAAGCUUGGGAACGAUUGGAAAAGGCCGAACACGAGCGUGAAUUGGCGCUCCGCGAAGAACUCAUUCGUCAGGAGAAACUUGAACAGUUGGCAGCUCGUUUCAAUCGUAAGGCAACGAUGAGAGAAACCUGGCUUUCGGAAAAUCAGCGCCUGGUAAGUACAGAUAACUUCGGUUUCGAUCUGGCUGCUGUGGAAGCUGCCGCCAAAAAGCACGAGGCAAUCGAAACCGACAUAUUUGCCUACGAAGAACGAGUCCAAGCCGUAGUUGCGGUCUGUAAUGAAUUGGAAGCCGAGAAGUAUCACGACAUUGAACGAAUUGCAGCACGAAAGGACAAUGUUCUGCGACUUUGGAAUUACUUGCUUGAGCUGUUGAGGGCUAGAAGAAUGCGUCUGGAGUUCUCAAUUCAGCUGCAGCAGAACUUCCAAGAAAUGAUUUACAUUCUGGAUUCCAUGGAAGAGAUCAAACAGCGCCUAUUGACAGAUGAUUAUGGCAAGCAUUUGAUGGGAGUGGAAGAUUUGCUGCAGAAGCACUCACUCGUUGAAGCUGACAUAAAUGUUCUUGGCGAGCGGGUCAAACAAGUUGUUCAAAAUUCGCAGAAGUUCUUGGGAGACGAAGAAGGUGGAUACAAACCUUGCGAUCCGGCUAUUAUCGUCGAUCGUGUUCAGCGUCUUGAAGAUGCCUAUGCAGAACUUUGCAAAUUAGCUGUGGAGCGUCGCUCUCGGCUUGAAGAAAGUCGCAAGUUGUGGCAAUUUUAUUGGGACAUGGCUGAUGAAGAGAACUGGAUUAAGGAGAAAGAACAAAUUGUUUCAACUGAUGAGAUUGGUCAUGAUUUGACAACAGUCAACCUUUUACUGUCGAAGCACAAAGCUCUUGAAAAAGAAAUCCAUUCUCAUGAGCAACAGUUGAUGGACGUCAGUACCGUUGGUGAUGAAUUGGUUCGACAGGGACACUUUGGAGCCGAUCGCAUUGAUGAACGUCUCAAGGAAAUUUUGGCUAUGUGGAAUAAUUUGUUGGAUUUGACUGUCUCCCGUCGCAAGCGUCUUGAAAAUGCUGUAGAUUACUUCCAGCUGUUCGCCGAUGCCGAUGACGUAGACAACUGGAUGCUCGAUGCUCUGCGGUUGGUUUCUUCCGAGGACGUUGGACGGGAUGAAGCUAAUGUUCAAAGUUUAUUGAAGAAGCACAAAGAUGUAGCGGAUGAGCUGAAAAAUUACGCUGAAACCAUCGAACAAUUACACACUCAGGCGGCUAACUUGGUUUUGACUGAACCGGAGCAUCAAAAGGUUCAGGAACGUUUGGCAGCUAUCGAAGCUCGUUACAAGGAACUUAUGGAACUUGCUAAGCUUCGCAAACAGCGAUUGUUGGAUGCACUUAGUCUGUACAAGCUUAUUUCUGAGAGCGACGGUGUGGAACAAUGGAUCGGCGAGAAGGAACGUAUGUUACAGACGAUGGUACCAGGCAAAGAUAUUGAAGAUGUCGAAAUUAUGAAGCAUCGCUAUGACGGCUUUGAUAAGGAAAUGAACGCAAAUGCUUCUCGUGUAGCCGUCGUCAACCAACUCGCUCGGCAGCUUUUGCAUGUUGAACAUCCAAACUCAGAGGAAAUUAUUGAGAAGCAGAACCACUUGAAUCAAAGCUGGUCGAAAUUACGUGAUCAAGCUGAGAGUAAGCGCGACGAGUUGAAAUCCGCUCAUGGAGUGCAAACGUUCUACAUCGAAUGCCGUGAAACUGUAUCCUGGAUCGAGGACAAGAAACGUAUUCUCACUGAAACUGACAGUCUUCAAAUGGACUUAACGGGUGUCAUGACUUUGCAGCGUCGUUUAAGUGGAAUGGAACGCGACCUUGCUGCCAUUCAGGCCAAAUUAACCGCUUUGGAGAGUGAAGCCGAUGCAAUUGAAGGUGAACAUCCAGAAGAAGCUGCUCUGAUUCGUGAGAGAGUAGCCCAAAUUCAGGUCAUCUGGGAACAGCUUACCCAGAUGUUGAAGGAACGUGACUCGAAAUUGGAAGAGGCCGGUGAUCUACAUCGUUUCCUGCGUGAUCUAGAUCAUUUCCAAGCUUGGUUAACCAAGACUCAAACGGAUGUGGCCUCCGAGGACACUCCAACGUCGCUUCCGGAAGCAGAAAAAUUGCUGAAUCAACACCAGAGCAUACGCGAGGAAAUCGACAACUAUACCGAGGACUACACUAAGAUGAUGGAGUAUGGCGAAGGACUUACCUCCGAACCUACUCAGACCGAAGAUCCGCAAUAUAUGUUCUUGCGUGAGCGUCUAAGGGCUCUCAAAGAUGGUUGGGAGGAGCUUCAUCAGAUGUGGGAGAAUCGUCAAGUUCUACUAUCACAGAGCUUGGAUCAACAGCUGUUCAAUCGCGAUGCUCGUCAAGCCGAAGUUUUGCUUAGCCAGCAAGAGCACGUUCUCAGCAAGGAUGAUACUCCAGUUAAUCUAGAACAGGCAGAGAAUCAAUUGAAACGUCACGAAGCCUUCCUUACAACAAUGGAAGCAAAUGAUGAGAAGAUCAAUACCAUAGUUCAGGUUUCAGAGCAAUUGGCUGAAAAGCAACAUUUCGAUUCGGAAAAGAUCGGUAAGCGUGCUGAAAGUAUUGCUCACCGGCGCGAUGACAAUCGUAAUCGUGCGAUUGAACUGCACGAAAAGUUGAAGAACCAAGUAAAACUGCACGAAUUCCUACAAGAUAUUGAAGAGUUAACCGAAUGGGUACAGGAGAAAUACAUCACCGCACAGGAUGACACGUAUCGAAGUGCUAAGACCGUACACAGCAAGUGGACCCGUCAUCAAGCAUUCGAGGCUGAAAUCGCUGCCAAUAAAGAACGUCUUCAUGAAGCGCAGAAGGCUGCACAGGAGUUGAUGGUAGAGAAGCCAGAAUUUAAGGAAAUCAUCGAGCCCAAGUUGCAAGAUUUGGCUAAGAACUUUGAUGAACUUGAAACCAGCACCAAGGAAAAGGGAGCUCUACUUUUCGAUGCCAAGCGUGAAGUUAUCGUUCAGCAAAGUGUUGAUGAUAUUGAUUCUUGGAUGGACGACCUCGAGAAACAAAUCAUCAAUCCUGAUACGGGUAGUGAUCUAACCUCAGUGAACAUUUUGAUGCAAAAACAACAAGUGAUUCAAACUCAGAUGGCCGUUAAGGCACGUCAGGUUGAAGAACUCGAAAAACAAACUGAAGUUCUUACUAAGACUAUUCCUCAGGACGUCGUAGAGCCAAUCGUAGAAAAGAAACAAGCCGUUCAUGAUCGAUUCGAAAAAAUCAAAGCUCCUUUACUGGAGCGUCAACGUCAGCUGGAAAAGAAGAAGGAAGCCUUCCAGUUCCGUCGGGAUGUCGAAGAAGAAAAGCUUUGGAUCGACGAAAAAAUGCCUCUGGCUAAUUCUCAGGAAUAUGGCAAUUCUCUUUUCAAUGUGAAUGUAUUGAAGAAAAAGCACCAAUCGUUGAACACCGAAAUCGAUAAUCAUGAACCGAGAAUUAUGACUAUCUGUAACAAUGGGCAAAAACUAAUUGACGAGGGUCACGAAGACGCUUCCCAAUUUGCUGAUCUUAUCAGUCAGUUGACUCAGAAAUGGCAGGAACUCAAAGAUGCUAUUGAUAAUCGCCACAAGCAAUUGGAUCAAUCUGAAAAGGUGCAGCAAUACUUCUUCGAUGCUGCUGAAGCUGAAUCGUGGAUGAGUGAGCAAGAACUCUACAUGAUGGUGGAGGAUCGUGGAAAAGACGAGAUUUCUGCACAAAAUCUGAUGAAAAAACACGAAUCAUUGGAGCAAUCGGUUGAGGAUUAUGCUGAUACCAUCCGACAAUUAGGAGAAACAGCACGUCAGUUGACCGCUGAACAGCAUGCGUACAGCGAUCAGGUGUCCGUGAAACAAUCACAACUGGAUAAAUUAUAUGCCGGUCUGAAGGAUUUGGCUGGAGAACGUCGGGCUAGACUGGAUGAAGCUCUUCAACUGUUUAUGCUGAAUCGUGAAGUAGAUGACCUUGAGCAAUGGAUUGCCGAGCGUGAGUUGGUUGCAGGAUCGCACGAACUUGGUCAGGAUUACGAUCAUAUUACGUUACUAUGGGAACGCUUCAAUGAGUUCGCCCAGGACACUGCAGCGGUCGGAAGUGAACGUGUAGCUAAAGCUAAUGGUAUUGCAGAUGAUCUUAUCCACGCAGGACAUUCGGAUAGUGCAACGAUAGCUGAAUGGAAGGAUGGUCUAAACGAAUCCUGGCAGGAUCUGCUGGAAUUGAUCGAAACCAGAAAGGCCAUGUUGGCGGCAUCACGUGAACUGCACAAAUUCUUCCACGACUGCAAAGACGUUCUUGGUCGCAUCAUCGAAAAGCAGCAUGGUGUUUCGGAUGAACUGGGACGUGAUGCGGGAUCCGUGUCGGCACUACAACGCAAACAUCAGAACUUCAUUCAGGAUCUAAUGACGCUCCAUUCGCAAGUACAACAAAUCCAGGAAGAGUCAGCCAAGUUACAGGCAGCUUAUGCAGGUGAAAAGGCCCGCGAAAUCACUAACCGAGAGCAUGAAGUACUCGCUGCUUGGGCCAACCUGCAAGGAAUGUGUGAUGCACGUAAGAACAAGCUGGCCGAUACAGGAGAUCUUUUCAAGUUCUUCAAUAUGGUACGUACUUUGAUGCUUUGGAUGGAAGAUGUCGUACGACAAAUGAACACGUCCGAAAAGCCUCGUGAUGUAUCUGGCGUUGAGCUGCUUAUGAAUAAUCAUCAGAGUUUGAAGGCAGAAAUUGAUACUCGUGAAGAUAAUUUCACUGCAUGUUUAGCACUAGGAAAGGAGUUGCUAGCUAGAAAUCAUUACGCUUCGGCGGAUAUCAAAGAACGCCUGUUGCAGCUGACCAAUAGCAGGAAUGCUCUUCUUCACCGAUGGGAGGAACGUUGGGAAAACCUUCAACUGAUUCUUGAAGUGUAUCAGUUUGCCCGCGAUGCUGCUGUUGCUGAGGCUUGGCUCAUUGCGCAAGAACCGUAUCUAAUGUCAACUGAACUUGGACACACGAUUGACGAGGUCGAAAAUCUUAUCAAGAAACAUGAGGCGUUCGAAAAAUCUGCCGCUGCCCAGGAGGAGCGUUUCAGUGCUUUAGAGCGGUUAACAACGUUUGAGCUCAAAGAAAUGAAACGUCGACAGGAAGCAGCAGAGGAAGCCGAACGUCAACGUUUACAAGCAGAAGCAGAGGCCAAGGCGGCAGCAGAAGCCGAAGCCGAAGCAGCGCGACAAGCUGAGGCGGCAGCGCGAGAUACAUCUGAUGCGCCAGGCUCCCCACAUUCCACGCGGGAACAGGAAUCAGUCACUAUGCGAGCAACUUCACCUGUAGAAAAAGAAAGACCUCUUUCCCAGCCAGUGCAUGCAAAAACUAAACUCACUAGAGAAGCAGCCUUGCUUAAGCAAGCUCCGAGAACAAUAAGUUCAAGGACUGGUACAUUGCCAAAGUAUCCCUCCACCGGCACUGACACACCAAGCACCGGUAUCCCGAGAAGGCAUUCAACGACACCCAAAGAACGAUCCGCCAGCACGGCUAGUGCUUCAGCAUCAAAAGUUAGUCGAAGAUCUCGUUCCAAGAGUCCAUUCCGAAGCUUCCGCUGGAAGCGUGGCAGCUCAAAAGCGGAAGUAUCCGACGAUGAAGGAGAUCGUCCAAGCCCUGGGGGAUCUGACGAAGGCGUUCAGGAAGGUAUUUUAACAAGGAAACAUGAAUGGGAAUCCACGACUAAGAAGUCUACGAACCGGUCCUGGGAUAAGGUAUACAGCGUUGCUCGUAGUGGACGCCUAGCGUUCUUCAAGGAUCAGAAAACAUCUAAAUCAGUUCCAGAACAGACUUUCCGUGGCGAACCGCCACUGGAGUUGAAAGGAGCUCAGAUCGAAAUCGCUACAGAUUACACCAAGAAGAAGAAUGUGUUCAGAAUAAAACUCUCGAAUGGCGGAGAAUUCCUGCUCCAGUGUCACGAUGACGCCGAGAUGAACCAAUGGGUAACUGCUUUGAAAGCCCAGUGCGAGCUUGACGCUAGCGGUGAAGGGCGUUCGCUAACGUUGCCCGCAUCAUCACAAAAAGAUGAACAAAAGAGACGGUCAUUCUUUACACUGAAGAAAAAGUAAAUUGAACUUUACUCCUUCUUCCACCUAGAACGUUUCAAAACUCCCACUCCCCAACCCUACCGUACACACUCACAUCUCUCUGAGCGAAUAUCUUCUCACGUACUACACUGUAACAAAUGUUCGCGAGUUAUGCGCUAGUUCACGUUAAAACGCACUCGAAAACCAUUGUCCAUGUUUUGAUCUGCAGAAUAUUCCCGAAAGAUUUAAGAUUCACCCGCGAAUCGUGAACAUACAAACGUUUGCUAGUACAUCCAGUUUUAUUUUAGUUCUCCCUCGUCUACAUCACCGACCGCUCGGGCUUGACUGCUUGAGCUAUGGCGAAGUGAGAUACCAAUUUUAUGUUUGGCUUGUGUUCUGUUUGAAUUAGUACGUUUGGAGGUGUUACCGGUGUUUAGGUUAUAUUUAUUCAUCAUGUUUGGUUUAUUGAUUUUCUGGAGUAGCAGAUCAACCGAUCAAUCAAUCGCUUUCAUCUGUCAUAUAAACUUCCUGUGUUUGGAAACCCAUUUUCAAACAUCAAACUUCAUCAGUAUUGUUCUAUCGACUGUUUUGUUUUCUUCAACUGGGACCGUUAAAAUCUUUACAAAAACAUACAUGAUCCGAUAUCGACACAUCCAUGAAAAAAGAUUGAGAAUGAUCAGCAAAAUACCUGUACUAAACCCAAUUGGACAACCUUCUUCUGUUUUAAUUAGUUGAUAGCAAAAACAGUUUAAGUACGUACUCUUCAAAAUAAAAACUACAACAACAUUUCAAACAAUGUAGGGCAACAUUUGGAUCAGUCUGCGUACUGAAAAUUACUCAUUUUGACUAACACCUAUGUCUCAAUACAAUACAAGUCAGGAACAGUCGGUAACGAAUAGCGUCUAUAAUCUCAGCUUAGUCCAGUGAUUAACAUCAGCAGCACAUAUUUUAACGAAAUAAUGGUUAUGUUAAAUAAGUUGGAUAUUUUCAUGUCCAAUAACACUCACCCACCCAUCAUCAUCACAUCAUAGCGAGAUAUAGGCCAUCCUUUACGUACCUACCAAUAUAAGAACUUUGCAAAAUGAACAGCGUCUUCGCAAUACAAGCUAGAAAAGUUAAACCGACCUUUAAGAAACAACAAAAUGUUUAGAUAAGUAAAAAGAAAUCGUUGACUAAAUUACCAACAAAAGUAAUGCUCCGCUAAAGCUGAUUUGGAACCAAAUUAAAAUUUCUAUAAGUGUAAGAACCUGACGAAGAAAAUAAUUUUAAAAAAUCUGUAUAGAACGAGUAUCUAUAAAAUAAAAUGUUUAUUUAUUUUAUGUUAUUGAUCGAAUGAAAGCGAGCAAAAUUACUAUACCAGUCGACUCUUCGGUUUCGUUUCGCAAGAAAAGAAAUUGGAAGAACGCAUCGAGUAGCCCAAAGGCUGGAAAGAUAAUGAAGAAUGUGGAUUUUAUCAUUUUUCCAAAAAAAAAAAACAAAAUGUGUGCAACUUUUGAAAUUCUAGCUGCAAAAAUUGAGCACUGUGCCCUUGUUUAGAAUAUUUAUUCCGCUUACAAUAAUCAGAAUGAACACUUGGUCGCUUGAUCGAGAGCAUCGUUGUAUUUGGCUAUUUCGAUAGCAAACGACAACAAAUCAUAAAACGAUUUAUUUGGAACAGAAAACACCACCGAAGGAGUUUGAUUGGGUUUUGUUUUUCAAUUAGAAAAUCAACAUCAUCCUAUUUUCUUUUUCAAUUCUAAGAGAAGGAAAAGUAGAUCUAAGCAUUCAAUCUUUUUAAUUUCAGUUUGUUUAGGUUUUAAUCUCACAAUAAAUGAGAAAUUAAUAGUCGAUUGCUGUUUCUCUUAUGGGGAUAUGAAAUAAAUCGGCCGAUGCAUUCUUAAUUGUCGAAGCAGCUAAAAAAAUAAGAAAAAAGUAUAUUAGGCUUGUUAAAGUUUUUGCAUCGGUCCUUCAUUAGUUUACUAUAAAAACAAAGCUGCAUAAAACAUAAUUGCAAUAUCAUUAAAUUGAAUGUAUUUUCAAUGUUUGGACAGAAAAAGAUACAAUUAUUUUCAAUAAAUUGAUCGCAAGCAAAAGUAAAUUAUUGUUCAUAUUUUAGAUUGUACUGCACAUUAUUUAUUUUAAUGUUUUCUACUUUAGUAAGAAUUGAAUGAAAACGGAGCAGCGAUAUAAAGAAAAAUAAACAAAAGCAAGAAAACUUUAUUAAUUUGAAAGCUAUGUAAAAACAAGUUUGUUUUAUACAACAAAAAUAUAAUCAAUCAAGUAUAUUUUUUAAACUGCCAGCUUGUGAGUAAAUAAAAUAAUAAACAUCUAUUACAACUCUUA